AACGAACGCUGGCGGCGCGCCUAAUACAUGCAAGUCGAGCGAGAAGACGUAGCAAUACGUUUGUAAAGCGGCGAACGGGUGAGGAAUACAUGGGUAACCUACCCUCGAGUGGGGAAUAACUAGCCGAAAGGUUAGCUAAUACCGCGUACGCUUCUUGGACUUCGGUUCAGGGAGGAAAGCGAUACCGUGGGUAUCGCGCUCUUGGAUGGGCUCAUGUCCUAUCAGCUUGUUGGUGAGGUAACGGCUCACCAAGGCUUCGACGGGUAGCUG
RNAcentral lists this ribosomal RNA (270 nucleotides) under uncultured bacterium. RNAcentral describes it as "partial 16S ribosomal RNA". It matches the Rfam family "Bacterial small subunit ribosomal RNA", at positions 29 to 289 of the family's 1533-position model. The record is from RNAcentral.